RNAcentral lists this ribosomal RNA (606 nucleotides) under uncultured bacterium. RNAcentral describes it as "bacterial SSU rRNA". It matches the Rfam family "Bacterial small subunit ribosomal RNA", at positions 30 to 631 of the family's 1533-position model. The record is from RNAcentral.
UGAACGCUGGCGGCAUGCCUUACACAUGCAAGUCGAACGGCAGCACGGGGGGUAACCCCUGGUGGCGAGUGGCGAACGGGUGAGUAAUAUAUCGGAACGUGCCCUGUAGCGGGGGAUAACCUAUCGAAAGAUGGACUAAUACCGCAUACGCUCUACGGAGGAAAGCGGGGGCCGCAAGGCCUCGCACUAUAGGAGCGGCCGAUAUCGGAUUAGCUAGUUGGCGGGGUAAAAGCCCACCAAGGCUACGAUCCGUAGCUGGUCUGAGAGGAUGAUCAGCCACACUGGAACUGAGACACGGUCCAGACUCCUACGGGAGGCAGCAGUGGGGAAUUUUGGACAAUGGGCGCAAGCCUGAUCCAGCCAUGCCGCGUGAGUGAAGAAGGCCUUCGGGUUGUAAAGCUCUUUCGGCAGGAACGAAAUGGUUCGUGCUAAUACCGCGGACUGAUGACGGUACCUGAAGAAGAAGCACCGGCUAACUACGUGCCAGCAGCCGCGGUAAUACGUAGGGUGCAGGCGUUAAUCGGAAUUACUGGGCGUAAAGCGUGCGCAGGCGGUUUCUUAAGUCAGAUGUGAAAGCCCCGGGCUUAACCUGGGAACUGCGUUGAA